This 312-nucleotide ribosomal RNA is filed under the name Triticum aestivum (bread wheat). RNAcentral's name for it is "partial small subunit ribosomal RNA". Lineage: Eukaryota; Viridiplantae; Streptophyta; Magnoliopsida; Poales; Poaceae. The record is from RNAcentral.
AUGCAGCACCGGGAGUUGCUGUUGUUGGUGCCGCCUCCCCGCAGUGCCGCUCUUUAUCUUCCUCUAUCUCACACAGGUCUUUCUUUAGUUUGUCUCACACAACACAAAGAACACACACGGGGCAGAAGACACACACACGCACACACACUUCACGAUAGAGAAACUAGCUUUGCCUCUUGUCUCCAGGUGAAAAGCACAUACACUACAUCAUGGCCCAGCCCUGUCGGCUCCUUUCCAUUGCUCAAUGUGACAUAUAUAUACACAGGAGGGCACACAGCCAGCCAUCACGCCCGGUCAUCACGCACACACUAA